RNAcentral lists this transfer RNA (66 nucleotides) under Donax variegatus. Its description in RNAcentral is "tRNA-Tyr". The record is from RNAcentral. Lineage: Eukaryota; Metazoa; Mollusca; Bivalvia; Cardiida; Donacidae.
UAAGGGGCGGCCGUAGAGGUGGUAAGUUGUAGCCUUAUUUAUGGGGGCCACAAUCCCCCCUCCUUA